CAACUAUAGAGGGAUAUUACCUACUCCAUAGGGCUGAUGAGAGGAUUCAUGAGACAGUCGUACUAAAAUACUGAAUACAGUGCCUUGUGAACAGGAACUACACCUUAGUUUGUUUUGAGGAUUAAAGUAGUUAAUAUAUGUAAAGCACUUGCGACAGCAUCUGACACACGUUAAACACCAUACGUAUUAGCUGUUAUUAUCAAUUAUUGGUAGGAAAUAAAGAACCUUGAGCUGAAACUUGUAUUUCAAAUCUGUGACAUCUAU
RNAcentral lists this long non-coding RNA (264 nucleotides) under Homo sapiens (human). RNAcentral's name for it is "non-protein coding lnc-HENMT1-3:1". Lineage: Eukaryota; Metazoa; Chordata; Mammalia; Primates; Hominidae. The record is from RNAcentral.